This 759-nucleotide ribosomal RNA is filed under the name uncultured bacterium. RNAcentral's name for it is "bacterial SSU rRNA". It matches the Rfam family "Bacterial small subunit ribosomal RNA", at positions 1 to 735 of the family's 1533-position model. The record is from RNAcentral.
AGCGGCCGAUCGCCUUGAGUUGAUCAUGGCUCAGAAUCAACGCUGGCGGCGUGCCUAACACAUGCAAGUCGAACGCGACUUAGGCUUCGGCCUAAGUUGAGUGGCGAACGAGUGAGUAACACGUGGGUGACCUACCUUCGAGUGGGGGAUAACGUCCCGAAAGGGACGCUAAUACCGCAUAACAUCCUGCCUUUGAACAGGUGGAGAUCAAAGCCGGGGAUCGCAAGACCUGGCGCUUGAUGAGGGGCCCGCGCCUGAUUAGCUAGUUGGUGGGGUAAUGGCUCACCAAGGCGACGAUCAGUAUCCGGCCUGAGAGGGCGGACGGACACACUGGGACUGAGACACGGCCCAGACUCCUACGGGAGGCAGCAGUGGGGAAUUGUUCGCAAUGGGCGCAAGCCUGACGACGCAACGCCGCGUGGAGGAUGAAGGUCUUCGGAUUGUAAACUCCUGUUGCCCGGGACGAACGGCUCCGACCUAAUACGUCGGAGUGUGACGGUACCGGGUGAGGAAGCCCCGGCUAACUCUGUGCCAGCAGCCGCGGUAAUACAGAGGGGGCAAGCGUUGUUCGGAAUUACUGGGCGUAAAGGGCGCGUAGGCGGCCUGCUAAGUCGAACGUGAAAUCCCUGGGCUCAACCCAGGAACUGCGUCCGAUACUGGUUGGCUUGAAUCCGGGAGAGGGAUGUGGAAUUCCAGGUGUAGCGGUGAAAUGCGUAGAUAUCUGGAGGAACACCGGUGGCGAAGGCGACAUCCUGGACC